CGAGUUACGGUAUGUAGCAAGGUUAAGUACUUAAGGUACGGAGCCGAAGGGAAACCGAGUCUGAAUAGGGCGACUAGUUGCAUGCCGUAGACCCGAAACCGGGUGACCUAUCCAUGGCCAGGUUGAAGCGAGGGUAAAACCUCGUGGAGGACCGAACCACGUUGCUGUUGAAAAAGCAUGGGAUGAGCUGUGGAUAGCGGAGAAAUUCCAAUCGAACCCGGAGAUAGCUGGUUCUCUCCGAAAUAGCUUUAGGGCUAGCGUCGAGUAUGAGUAGUGGAGGUAGAGCACUGAAUGGGCUAGGGGGCAUAGCGCUUACCGAACCUUAUCAAACUCCGAAUGCCACAUACUUUGAGCUCGGCAGUCAGACUACGAAUGAUAAGAUCCGUGGUCAAAAGGGAAACAGCCCAGAUCGUCAGCUAAGGUCCCAAAGUGUAAGUUAAGUGGGAAAGGAUGUGAGAUUUCUAAGACAACUAGGAUGUUGGCUUAGAAGCAGCCAUUCAUUAAAAGAGUGCGUAAUAGCUCACUAGUCGAGAGAUCUUGCGCCGAAAAUGUAACGGGGCUAAACUUACCA
RNAcentral lists this ribosomal RNA (571 nucleotides) under Clostridium perfringens. Its description in RNAcentral is "partial 23S ribosomal RNA". It matches the Rfam family "Bacterial large subunit ribosomal RNA", at positions 624 to 1193 of the family's 2925-position model. Lineage: Bacteria; Bacillati; Bacillota; Clostridia; Eubacteriales; Clostridiaceae. The record is from RNAcentral.